UGGGACUUCCCAAACUGAAAAACUACUGCACAUAUAAACACUAAACUGCUUUGCUAGUUCAAUCAAACUAGCAAUUUCUUUUUCCAUCGACAGAUAUAGCUCCUGUACGUCCACCAAAAUCACAUUUAGCAGCUAUUUUCAAGAUAGCGCCGUCACCGGUACAGCUGAUCCAAACAUUUCCAGUGAAAGUGAAAAAUAAGUUGGUUAAAGAGCUAACACAUGCACUCACAAAAACACUGUUAUGCUUAUUUAACAUAUUUUAAGCUUUGUUUUUAUACAGAAACGUCACUUAAAUACACACAAAGUGUAUGUAUACUUAUACAGUUGUUCUGUAUUAUUAUUAUUUUUUUGAUAGAGAAAUGAUAUGAUAUAUUCUUUAUUAGGUUUUAUUUUAUAUAUAUUUAUAUAAUAUUUUGUGAAAUUUCUUCACAAAACCUUUUGCGGAUUUGUUUUUGCUCGUAUUGUUACCUUUUAUUUCCUACAAAGAGUAGCCCAGCACUUUAGUAU
Molecule: long non-coding RNA, 507 nt
Organism: Sander lucioperca (pikeperch)
Lineage: Eukaryota; Metazoa; Chordata; Actinopteri; Perciformes; Percidae
Exons: 2
Source: RefSeq, a predicted model, not a curated record